This 409-nucleotide ribosomal RNA is filed under the name uncultured bacterium. Its description in RNAcentral is "bacterial SSU rRNA". It matches the Rfam family "Bacterial small subunit ribosomal RNA", at positions 359 to 771 of the family's 1533-position model. The record is from RNAcentral.
UAAUGCACAAUGGGGGAAACCCUGAUGCAGCGACGCCGCGUGAGUGAAGAAGUAUUUCGGUACGUAAAGCUCUAUCAGCAGGGAAGAAAAAAAGUCCUUUGGACUUUGGACGGUACCUGACCAAGAAGCCCCGGCUAACUACGUGCCAGCAGCCGCGGUAAUACGUAGGGGGCAAGCGUUAUCCGGAUUUACUGGGUGUAAAGGGAGCGUAGACGGUGAUGUAAGUCUGGAGUGAAAGGCGGGGGCCCAACCCCCGGACUGCUCUGGAAACUAUGUGACUGGAGUGCAGGAGAGGUGAGCGGAAUUCCUAGUGUAGCGGUGAAAUGCGUAGAUAUUAGGAGGAACACCAGUGGCGAAGGCGGCUCACUGGACUGUAACUGACGUUGAGGCUCGAAAGCGUGGGGAGCAA